This 497-nucleotide ribosomal RNA is filed under the name uncultured bacterium. RNAcentral describes it as "partial 16S ribosomal RNA". It matches the Rfam family "Bacterial small subunit ribosomal RNA", at positions 28 to 507 of the family's 1533-position model. The record is from RNAcentral.
GAUGAACGCUGGCGGCGUGCCUAAUACAUGCAAGUCGAGCGAACAGACGAGGAGCUUGCUCCUCUGACGUUAGCGGCGGACGGGUGAGUAACACGUGGAUAACCUACCUAUAAGACUGGGAUAACUUCGGGAAACCGGAGCUAAUACCGGAUAAUAUAUUGAACCGCAUGGUUCAAUAGUGAAAGACGGUUUUGCUGUCACUUAUAGAUGGAUCCGCGCCGCAUUAGCUAGUUGGUAAGGUAACGGCUUACCAAGGCAACGAUGCGUAGCCGACCUGAGAGGGUGAUCGGCCACACUGGAACUGAGACACGGUCCAGACUCCUACGGGAGGCAGCAGUAGGGAAUCUUGCGCAAUGGGCGAAAGCCUGACGGAGCAACGCCGCGUGAGUGAUGGAGGUCUUCGGAUCGUAAAACUCUGUUAUUAGGGAAGAACAAAUGUGUAAGUAACUAUGCACGUCUUGACGGUACCUAAUCAGAAAGCCACGGCUAACUACGUG